Molecule: long non-coding RNA, 1823 nt
Filed under: Mus musculus (house mouse)
Lineage: Eukaryota; Metazoa; Chordata; Mammalia; Rodentia; Muridae
Description: predicted gene, 31218
Source: RNAcentral
CAAUGAUGCCGUAUUAAGCAGGCACUUGGAGUGUGCUUCCAGAGUUGCAUUUUUCAGCAGCACAGCCGGGUGUUUAGGAGAGUGAUGACCGUAAUGAGGCUGAAGUAGUUUGAUGUGUUCACAGCUUUAUGAAGGUGGUUGUAUGGAUAGUCGAUACUCCAGGAAGACACAUGCUGAUAUUUCAGUAUGAUUAACACUGGCAACAGACAGGCUACUCUUCAAGAAGCAGCGCCUGUGGAGGAGUAAGAUGCUGUCUGAAAACAUGCAGGCCUUGUGCUGACAAUCACGGCUGCUGUGAAUUCACGUAUGUAGCAGUUCUUUCAUGGCCAGAAGAUACUGGACUGUGGAGCAGAUUUCUCAAAAUGUCCUGGAGUGGGAGGAAGAAGAAACUAUCUGUGGUCAUUCAGUCGAAAACGAUAAGGGUAUUCUGACUAAAAGCUGGGAACCUCAGAGCAGCUGCUUCAAUCUACUCGAACCAAAAGAACACGGAACGGUUACAUGAAGCGGGACUAUGUAAAUGAGGUAUAGUGGGUCACAUCUAUAAUCCCGACACACAGGAGAUGAAGGCAGGAGGAUUAGAAGUUCAAGGCCAUCAGCUACACAGAAAAUUUGAAACCAUCUCGGGCUACAGGAGAUGGUAUCUCAAGAGCAAACAAAACACACACACACCACCAUACACACACAUGUACACACACCACACACACAAAUACACUAAGUAUAUGCACAUGUAUACACAUACAAUUAUACAGAUACCUCAUACACAUACACACAUACCACAUGCACAUAUAUCACACAUGCAAAAUAUACAAACACAUAUACUUCUGCUGAUAUACAUACAUAUAUACAUACAACAUUUGCACACACUGCACAUAUAUGCACACACAUGCCAUAUUAUAUCACACAUGCCAUAAUACAUGUAUUGCACAUGCAUAUACAACACAAAUGUACUUAUACACAAGUACAUACACCACAUACAUACAUACACAUACACACCACGUCACACACACCCCACACAUAUACCACACCAUCCAUAUCACACACACAUACGUAUACACACCACUCACACACACCAUAUCACAUACACACUACACACACAUACCACACCACACAUACAUACCAUAUAUGUACAUAUACUACACACACCACACAUACACCACAGACAUGUAUAUCACAUGAACAUACAACACAAAUGCACAUACAGACAAGUACACACCACACACACACUACAUACACUAUACACACACCACACCCACAUCAUACUAUACACAUUAUAUACACCACGCACACACCACACCCACUUCAAACUAUACACACUAUACACACAUACCACACCCACACCACGUGCACACACACAAGCACAAAUACAAAUACUACUCAUACCACACAUCUACACACACACAAUACACAUACACUAUAACACACACACACCAGCAAACCACUGGACACAUUCUGCUGCUUGGUCUUUUUACUCUUGUAUCUGUAAACUACAUGAUGAUUCCCUGUCAACCACUUCCUGGCUUAUGCUUUUGAAGCACUGAGCAGUUAGGCGUACACUCAUGACAUCGUGAAAGGUCUGGUCAGUCCAGUGUUCCCAGUGUCACAGCUGCCACCUCCUCAGGCCACCAGAAUUCACAGACACCUUCAGGACUGAGGCUGGAGCCGGAUGAUCAGAAAUAGCAAAGCACACGGUCCUCUGCCGUCUCAGUGCACUCAGGGAGACUUAAUCCCCAGCAGAUGCCAGCCAGCCUCGCUUUCAGAUUAGCCUGGAGAAGCUUCUGGGAAGCUUCCAGCUCAGCGCGCUGCUUUUCCUCGAUGAUCUCUGC